GACAUUUGGGAUUCAUGUACACUGACAUUAACUCAGCCGAUUAGCUGCCUUUUUGCAUUAGAAGGAAAACUCUGUUGGCACAGAAUUACAACAUUGUAUUGCCAGAUACUUGAAGAGUCUUUUCUGAGAACAUCCAGCAUCCAGAAGUGGAUUCUACCUACAGAUCAGAUGGAUCAAUUAUAUUUAGAAUCAUUCUCCAAUUUCUGAGGAAAUCUUGGCCUUGAAAUCUAA
RNAcentral lists this unclassified non-coding RNA (231 nucleotides) under Hevea brasiliensis (rubber tree). The record is from RNAcentral. Lineage: Eukaryota; Viridiplantae; Streptophyta; Magnoliopsida; Malpighiales; Euphorbiaceae.